RNAcentral lists this long non-coding RNA (905 nucleotides) under Helianthus annuus (common sunflower). RNAcentral's name for it is "hypothetical non coding rna". The record is from RNAcentral. Lineage: Eukaryota; Viridiplantae; Streptophyta; Magnoliopsida; Asterales; Asteraceae.
UUUCUUCUAUUCUUCUCUCUAUACGUUGGUGUUCUAACCAAUAAAUCACCAAAGCGAUGUCCUGUCCGAUCGAUUCAGGAACCAUCUAACGAAUGCCGAAGUGUUGUGCUUUGUGAAUUUCGUUAAGCGGAAUCCAAAGUACUAUACUUUGUGAGUUCAUUAAAUGGAUACCAAAGUACUGUCUGAAUAAGACUAUACUUUGUGAAAUUCGUUAAGGUUCGAAUCUCGUGACUACCGUUAAGGUUUGAUUUGGGUUUUACACAAAUACGUAUUCCAUUCUGUUAAACUAUAUGUUUAACUACCAAGAAUACUCCCAACUAUACACUUACAAUCAAACAAACUAUUAAAUCAUCAGAAGAUCCAGAAUAAUAAAGUGCAUGCUUAAUUAUCGGAAGAAGUAGAAUCAAGAAGCUUGUUAAGUCAAUCUUGCAUGCUUAUAAAGUAAUUACAGUAGAUUGGAGUAAUAAUUGGAUCCGGCACUGAAGGACUUCAAGAAGUGGCUUAUAUUAUUAAUUAAAUCAAAUUAAGAAAUAUUGUUUUUAUUAAAAGCUACCUUUGUAAAAUUGGAAUUUAUUCCAUCUAUUUAAAUAAAAUCCGGUGUUUCUAAACUCUGAUAUUUUUCCUAACUCACGGUCCUGAUGAAAUUUCCGUUGUUUUCAAAAUAAUCACCGGUACCACUUGGCUGCUCACGGCUCCCGAUUCCGGCUAGGGUGGGUCGAGGGUCGUGACAUUAUGUAUGGAUCCAAAUGGCUAAUAGCAAGUAUCAAAAUGUUUUUGUUUGUUAAUGUAUAAUCCCUUUCAAAUGAUGAUAGUUCAAGUUUCAUUAUGGCAAAAUUGAAGGACUAUAAGAAGUAGGUUAGUUUGUUGUUCAAAUCAAACAAAGUUUAGAAAAGACUAUUAGCUUU